GGGUAGGUACCCGAGCGGCCAAAGGGGACGGCCUGUAAAGCCGUUGGCUAACGCCUACGGAGGUUCGAAUCCUCCCCUGCCCACCA
This 86-nucleotide transfer RNA is filed under the name Candidatus Omnitrophota bacterium. RNAcentral's name for it is "Candidatus Omnitrophica bacterium tRNA-Tyr". It matches the Rfam family "tRNA". Rfam says of the family: Transfer RNA (tRNA) molecules are approximately 80 nucleotides in length. Their secondary structure includes four short double-helical elements and three loops (D, anti-codon, and T loops). Further hydrogen bonds mediate the characteristic L-shaped molecular structure. tRNAs have two regions of fundamental functional importance: the anti-codon, which is responsible for specific mRNA codon recognition, and the 3' end, to which the tRNAs corresponding amino acid is attached (by aminoacyl-tRNA synthetases). tRNAs cope with the degeneracy of the genetic code in two manners: having more than one tRNA (with a specific anti-codon) for a particular amino acid; and 'wobble' base-pairing, i.e. permitting non-standard base-pairing at the 3rd anti-codon position. Lineage: Bacteria; Pseudomonadati; Candidatus Omnitrophota. The record is from RNAcentral.